This 219-nucleotide unclassified non-coding RNA is filed under the name plant metagenome. RNAcentral's name for it is "partial contains small subunit ribosomal RNA and internal transcribed spacer 1". The stretch from base 1 to 46 matches the Rfam family "Eukaryotic small subunit ribosomal RNA", at positions 1786 to 1831 of the family's 1831-position model. The record is from RNAcentral.
AAGUCGUAACAAGGUCUCCGUAGGUGAACCUGCGGAGGGAUCAUUACCGAGUUCAUGCCCUCACGGGUAGAUCUCCCACCCUAUGUUAAUCAUUACCUUUGUUGCUUUGGCGGGCCGCCAGGUUUCGGCCCAGGCUACCGGCUAAGGCUGGUAAGCGCCCGCCAGAGGACCCCAAACUCUGAAUGUUAGUGUCGUCUGAGUACUAUCUAAUAGUUAAAA